Molecule: ribosomal RNA, 777 nt
Filed under: uncultured Neocallimastigales
Lineage: Eukaryota; Fungi; Neocallimastigomycota; Neocallimastigomycetes; Neocallimastigales
Description: partial large subunit ribosomal RNA
Rfam family: Eukaryotic large subunit ribosomal RNA
Source: RNAcentral
CAUAGCGACUAUCGUGGCAUAUCAAUAAGCGGAGGAAAAGAAACUAACAAGGAUUCCCCUAGUAACGGCGAGUGAAGCGGGAAGAGCUCAAAUUUGAAAUCUUAAAGGGUUUCCCUUUACGAAUUGUAGUUUAAAGAAGUGUUUUCUGUUGGAGUUUCGGUAAAAGUUCUUUGGAAUAGGACAUCAUAGAGGGUGAGAAUCCCGUAUUUGACCGUUACUUUCCAGCUGUGUGAUACACUUUCAAAGAGUCGGAUUGUUUGGGAAUGCAGUCCGAAAUGGGUGGUAAAUUUCAUCUAAAGCUAAAUAUUGGCGAGAGACCGAUAGCGAACAAGUACCGUGAGGGAAAGAUGAAAAGAACUUUGAAAAGAGAGUUAAACAGUACGUGAAAUUGUCAAAAGGGAAGCGUUUGACACCAGUGUUGUUUAGUUGAAAAUCAAUUCAAUAAUUUUUGAUUUUGAGUAGUAUUGACUUCAUCAGCUUGCUGCUUUCUUUUCCGAAAUUAUUGAAUGCACUUUUCAGUUAACAAGUCAACAUCAAUUUCUUUUGUUGUAAAAGGGUAAGAGGAAGGUGGCUUACGCUUCGGCGUAAGUGUUUAUAGCCUUUUACCUCUGCAAUCGGAGAGAUUGAGGACAGCAGCGCAGACUCCUUCGGGGGUUAGAUACACUUGUGCUAAGCUAUAGCCUUGUAUAGACAACUUGUUGACUAUGCUCAGUCAUGUAGCUUACUCGCUUGUGCUAUUUUACCUACGCUUAGGAUGUUGAUAGUCACAGCGUGUAC